Molecule: ribosomal RNA, 413 nt
Filed under: uncultured bacterium
Lineage: Bacteria
Description: bacterial SSU rRNA
Rfam family: Bacterial small subunit ribosomal RNA
Source: RNAcentral
GACGAACGCUGGCGGCGUGCUUAACAUAUGCAAGUCGAGCGGUAAGGCCCUUUCGGGGGUACACGAGCGGCGAACGGGUGAGUAACACGUGGGUGACCUGCCCUCAGCUCUGGGAUAAGCCUGGGAAACUGGGUCUAAUACUGGAUAUGACUCCACGGUGCAUGUCGUGGGGUGGAAAGCCUUGUGCGGCUGAGGAUGGGCCCGCGGCCUAUCAGCUUGUUGGNGGGGUGAUGGCCUACCAAGGCGACGACGGGUAGCCGGCCUGAGAGGGCGACCGGCCACACUGGGACUGAGACACGGCCCAGACUCCUACGGGAGGCAGCAGGUGGGGAAUAUUGGACAAUGGGCGAAAGCCUGAUCCAGCGAUGCCGCGUGUGUGAAGAAGGCCUGCGGGUUGUAAAGCACUUUCAGUA